Long non-coding RNA from Gallus gallus (chicken), 5948 nucleotides. RefSeq lists it as uncharacterized. NCBI's taxonomy places the organism in Eukaryota, Metazoa, Chordata, Aves, Galliformes, Phasianidae. The record is from RefSeq and is a predicted model, not a curated record. The transcript is spliced from 2 exons.
CGCUGUCACACAGAGCAGAGCUCAGCGCUGCCCCUCCGCUCCCUGUGAGGAGCUGCAGCCGCCAUCAGGCCUCCCCUCAGCUCCUCUGCUCUGCGCUGAGCACACCGAUGGGCCUCAGCCGCUCCUCACACACCUUGCCCUCAGAGCCUUCCCCAUCGUUGUAGCCCUCCUUUGGAUGCUCUCUAAUAGUUUUAUGUCCUUAGAUUUUGGCAUCCAAACCCACACCCAGUGCUGGAGGUGAGGCUGCACAGCACAGAGCAGAGGGGACGCCCAGCUGGGCCUGGUACACCCCAGGUAUUGGGCAAAGGGCCAACCUAUUCACUCGUUAGAACAGGUCUAAAUAAUGAGGGCUGAACCGGAGCUCCUGCUACCGUAUCCUGACUGUUGCAGAGGUCUGUAGGACUGCGCAGACGGUAGCAGCACUGGGAAAUAUGUGGUAAUAAAACUUGUGUAGAUAGAGCCAGAGUGUCUUGAGUUAAUGGUAGGAAGAGGAAUUAGGUUUCCUCCUCCAAUCCUUAGCCAAGCCAUUUUCAGAUUUAAUCAAGAUCAGCAUUUCUGCUGCUACCAACAUUUAGUUCAGAAUUACAUCCCAGUUUUCUUCAGCAGGCAACACUGCCUCUGUCUCACCAUUUGCUGAAUGCUCUUCACGGUAGUGCUUGAUCCCAUAGCUCUCACCUUCGUGUUCUGCAGAAACCACUGUCGAGUCCUUGAAAGCACCAUAAGUGCUGAAGUUGAUCAAUGCUGAGGAGUUAUGGUGGAGGGAAUGCUUCCACAAAAAUAAUAAUAAUAAUAAUAAUAAUAAUAAUAAUAAUGAAAAACAGAGGGAAAAGAUGAACAUUAUCUGCCUUUGAACAGUUUUAUCAGAGGCAAUUGCUGCUUUCAAUUUUUGUCCAUCUGUGUUACCGUUUUAUCACAUACCAACAUCUGAGUAUUGAAAAAUGAGAAAAAUUAACAGUGCUCCUGGAAACAAUGCUGUCAUAUAGUCUACUUCAUUAUUGUUGAGCUUUGAAAGGUAACUAAAUGGCAGUCGAUCCUCUGGGGAAAUUCUUGAGAAAUAAUCUUUAUUAUAAAGGAAUUAGUUAAGUUGUACUUGCUGUUGCACUGUGAAGUUAAGAAAAGUCCUGGUGAUAAAGUGCCAUAGCUCUUCAUGAGUGCCACAGGGAACGCACCUCUUAUUUGUCAGUCUCUCUCCCCACUUGCCAGGGGCCUAGAUUUUCACAAGAGAAUUACCCUUGCAAAGCAGGGGGGAUUGCAGAGCUGCUAAAGCAAGUGAGUCCUUUGGCCAUAGAAAUGUUAUUUUGAGCUCACCGUAUAGGAAGGAGACGCAACCACCCUGAGUGAGGCAGCUGGCAGUGGUCCUGUGCUCCAGAAGUCCCACAUUUGACUGUGCUGACCACACACAUUUUUUCAGUUAUCAGGAGGAAAUUCACUUAGUGUUACUUCAGCCAAGAAGAGGAACCCCAGAAGAAGCUUUAGGAGGACUCUUCAGAAGCUUGAGGGUUAUGUGAAUGUAUCCUGCUGCAGCCUUACCUGCCACUUAGCACUGGCUUUGUUUAAUAAUUAAAUUGCAGGCACUGUGGACUCAGCACAUGUUGCUUUGGAGAUGCCUUUGGUUCUUACCUGUGCAGUGAGAAGUUUUUAAACAUUCUUUAUGAGGCUUUGUCUUUUCAUACAUUUUUGUUUGAUAGUUUAAACUACUACUGCUUAAUCUUUACAACAGCCAUCCGCUCUCCACCCUUUCUUCCUCGCCUCCAAUAUGGUUUGUGGUGGGAACUCUGAUUUCAUUAGGAUAACAAAUUAAAAUGAAAGAGACUGUUAUAGAAUUAGAGAAUACAAAAUGGAAAUGCAGAAUUUAUAUGGUGAUCCUAAUACAGAAAAAAAUAAAUCAUAAGUAAAUAACAUUUUUCAAAGGUAAGAAAAGUGACAAGGGAAGUUUGAAGACAUUCAGCACACACACAAAAAAAAACAAACAUCAGAAGUCUCAUAUGGAGAUGGCACUAGACAAAAGAAUAGGUAUUUCUUAGUAUAAUACCUACAGAGAAGAGGAUUGCCAUUUUAACAUCUUCCCAGUGCGUCACAGAUUGGAUUAUGGCACUGCUCUGCCAAGUCAUCAAGAGCUGGGAUAACUCCUGAUGGAAGCAUUUACUUCUGCUCCAAAAAUCACCUGCUUGCAGAAGAGUCAUCAUCCCCUCCUCCAGUGCCUGGAGCCACUGGGGUGUCUGAAGGUUAGCGGCUCUCCACUCUCUUACUCCUUGAGUAAGGAGUGAGUUGCUUGUUGUGUUGUGGGGUUUUUUUAUUGUUUGCAAGCUCAGUAUCCCAUGUAUGUUCUCUUGCAAGCUGUGACAGUGAAGUUACCUAUUACAGGUGCUUGAUCAAAUGAUGAAUACACAGGCUGAACUCGCAGUCAUGAAUUAUAGAGCAAAGAAAGAUUUUUUUUUUUCUUUUGAUCCUCCUUAUGCUCCAAGGAAACUCUUUGCUUCUAAAGAGCUUUUAAAGGUGAACUCAAAAUGUGGCCAGAGUUUAAACUGCUUAACUUUCUUUGAAAAACUGUUCCCUGCAGAUAGCUUGAAGAAAGCACCUCUGAGCAUUUAAUUUGACUGGAUUUUAGGGGGAAGGGGGAUUAUACAGCUACUGAGCUUCAAUAAUAUGUGAUCUUCUCAGGAAGGUCUAACAUGAUUACGCAAACAUCACGUCGGUGCUGGCCAAAAGCCCUCCAAAGCACACUGAAUUGCUGGAGUCAUGAGGUUUCCCUGUCUUUGCACAGAUUGUGAGGUUUGCAGGAGGCAAGAGUAAUCCUGAUGGCACUGUCCAUACUGGCAUCAAGCUGAUCCCACAGGCAGUGCCAGCAGACCCUGUGCAGCCAUACGGCAGGCUCAGCAGCCACCCUACAGCAUCUGAGGACCUGGCAGAACCAAGCACCCUGCUCGUGGCUGCAGGAGACCUCUUGCACCCUCCACAGUUGACGCCUUCCCACCACAGCUGUCAAUUUCCUGUGUUGGGAACUGGGUGCAUCCUGUCCCCAGAAGAGAGGUACCAGAAUACCCAACCUGCUGAAAAGUCUUAUUCUGGCUGCUUUCCCAAAUCCUUCCUUUCAUCUUGUUACCUGGCCAUGACGCAGCAAGAGUAGACAAAAGGAUGCAAAGCUGCCUGGUGCAUGUGUGGUACAUGCAGGUGGGAUCCAAAACAAAUGACCUUCAAGGAAGGUCAUGCAAAAAGGGCUGCAAAGGCUUGUGAAAAAGGGAACACGAAUGCACCUGAUAUGAUGUGUGGGUAUCCUAAGAGUACAGCACUAAGGGGCAUGGCCAAGAGAAGCGUGCAGAUGUGGCAGUUGUUACCAACAAGCAGGAUGAGCCCCAUGGUCAGGGGGACCUCGUGAUAGAGGCGUUAGGUUUGAUGUUGUAGUUGGGCAGCUAACUGCAUAGAAUCAUAGUCCCAUGUCCCUCAGUGCCACAUCUCCUCAUUUCCUGAACAGUUCUGGGUACAGUGACUCCAUCACCUCCCAGGGCAGGCAGCAUGAGAUAAAGACACAGAUAACAGAUAGAUAACAAGAUGACACCUAGGCUUCACACCAAAUUCAGCAGUUUGUCAAGGUACACUGAUGUGUUUGAUAAGACAAACUCCACUCAACAAGCAAACCAGUCCUUCUAGACUAGUUUCAAUCUCCAAGCUCAUGCAAACAAAAGUUGCAUGUGGAAUAUAAUGCAGUUGCUAAUACUAAUCUUUAAAAAAGUAUUGAUAAUAUAAACCUAUUAACUCUGAAGGGAAAAUGACAAAAUUGUUAUAUGAGGAAAAUUAUUUGAGAACUGCUCCUGCAUGUUUAUUUAAAAAGAGUGAAAACAAAUAUUAUGAAUUUGAACAACAGAAAUUAGAAAAAUAUCUAAGGCAGCAGGCUCAUGCAAUCCCAGCUCAAUCUUCUGCUUUCCUCCCUUGCCAGAAAGGCAUCUGAGUUGUAAUUCUUGCACAGGCUUAAGAUUGUCUGUCAGGCACUGGAUAAGAAAUGUCGAAGUAUGGGAUGAGACACAAAAGAAGGUUUAAAGGUGGCUAUGAUGACCAUACUGAAAAUCUCUUCUACAGCCUUGUUUACACAGUGAACGAGGGAAACAGAAGGUUGCAGCAGCUACAUAGGGUGCACUGAGGUAGAAGAGUAAAUAAUCAUAAAAAUCUUAUGGGAUCUCCCUGAGAGAGAGAAAUGGAGCCACUGAAAGCCAGACAUACAAACUGCUGUAGGUUUUGCAACUGCGUCAACACUUGUGAAAGUGAAAACAACCGAUAGGUCUGACUGUGUUAGUCCAAGCGCCUUCUCUGUUCUCACUCAGAUCAUCUGCUAUGGGAAUCAGCAUCAUGGAUGCAUGGACUCAGGGAUAAACUCAGACCAAGAAGAGUGAGGAAGACCCAAGAUAUCUCGGUAAAGGAAACAUUUCUGCCAUGUCCAGUCUUGGCUUCAUGAGAGAACACUGGAAGGCAGGUUUUUUUUUUUUUUUUUUACUUUUGUUGCAGCUUUUCACUGCACAACAUACUCCAAACUCUUCUUUCAACAACCUGCUAAUGUUAGGGGAAGAAAAAAAAAAGAUUGUAAUUCAUUUAGGAAUAAAAGCCAAAAAGCUUUUCGUUAUUGAUCAGGAAUUCAAUCAAGUAACAUCAUCAACAGCAAAAAAAAAAAGUAUGUGCUUAAACAUGAACAGUCCAAAGAUGUUAGUUGUCUGUCAAAACAAAUUGUCAGACAUAUUUGUGUUCUACACAGGAAUAGAUUUAUUGAAAAUCUUAAGUGGAAUGUUUGUUUCCACCAUCUACCAAAUAACGUUCUGUGGGGUUUUGUUCUGAGUACUGAGCAGCUGCAUCAGAAACUUUUUAAUUCAGGGAAGAGUGGCAGUUCCUUUUUGUCUCCUGUGUACCAGCUCUUAGGAAUUCCAGGAAAACUCUAUAAUCCCCAGCUCUCUCUGGCAUGCCACCACCUGAUCAUCACGAUCGCAAACAUUUGUAAUAAAAAUCAGUUAAUAUGCAAGCCACUAUUUUAUAUGCUAUCUUCAAUCCCAGAGAUGGUUUAAGAAGUACCUUCAUGUAGAACCUAUGUUUUUUUUUAUUCUUUUUGUGUCUGUUAAGGCUGGUAUAAUCACGAGGUUAAUUAGAAUCUUAAAUGCUUAGUUCCCAUGUUAAGAGAUUUGUCUCUAUUUAAAAAAAAAAACAAAAACAACUUCACAACAAGGGAAAAUGUAGGGUUUUUUUAAUUAUAAUUGGCCAUUUUGAAGAAAAUGUCUUGUAUAUUGGAAGCACGAGAGCCCAAAUGAGAGCCUAUAAACAUUUUAAAUAGGAAGUUUCCAAUUUUAUUAUUUAUAACACUUGAACUCCUUUACUUUCAAGACGUUCAUAUUACCACAAAGCUCCUGAAGCCAUACUUAUCAGGCCAUCUACUAUUAUGUUAUUAGUAUAAAGAUUGUACAGAACUGCACACAAUAAAAAACUAAUAAAAAACAGUAAAAUAACACUGUGUGGCUUCUCUUCAAACAUCAUUAGCACUCAACUUUGCGUUGAAGGGAGGAGUAAACUGAGGUCAAACGAUUCUCAAUUUCACUUGUUUCCAAAGUUUCUCAGCUCACGUUUACUUUAAUCUUUGUUAUUUAAGGACAUGGUAUUUUCUGUUCUUUUCCAGUUGUUAAUUUUUAUGGGAUGCCUAAUACCUAUGACAACAUGAUGUGUAUUUUGGAAAGUCUGUGUUGUGUACAGAAAGCCAGAGCUGCUUCUCGUUGCCAGCUGCAGUUACUAUUGCCACUGUUUCACAUUGAGAACUCUUCUGAGGUUUUUUGAUGUCAGAGAAUCAUAAAAUCACUAAGGUUGGAAAGGACCACCAUGCCCACUUACCCAUGUUAUCUAUAGACCUGAAAUUUAUCACCAGGGCAAAUAAGUCUCAUAUGUUUCUAUUUUAUAAGAAAAAAAAAAAAAAAAAAGGAAAA